AGAGUUUGAUCAUGGCUCAGAUUGAACGCUGGCGGCAGGCCUAACACAUGCAAGUCGAGCGGGGGUAGCAAUACCCUAGCGGCGAACGGGUGAGGAAUGCUUGGGAAUCUGCCUCGUAGUGGGGGAUAACGUUCCGAAAGGAACGCUAAUACCGCAUACGUCCUACGGGAGAAAGGGGGGGAUCUUCGGACCUCUCGCUAUGAGAUGAGCCCAAGCGGGAUUAGCUAGUUGGUGAGGUAAAGGCUCACCAAGGCUACGAUCCCUAGCUGGUCUGAGAGGAUGAUCAGCCACACUGGAACUGAGACACGGUCCAGACUCCUACGGGAGGCAGCAGUGGGGAAUAUUGGACAAUGGGCGAAAGCCUGAUCCAGCCAUGCCGCGUGUGUGAAGAAGGCCUUCGGGUUGUAAAGCACUUUAAGCGAGGAGGAAGGUUCGUUACUUAAUACGUAACGGAAUUGACGUUACUCGCAGAAUAAGCACCGGCUAACUCUGUGCCAGCAGCCGCGGUAAUACAGAGGGUGCAAGCGUUAAUCGGAAUUACUGGGCGUAAAGCGCGCGUAGGCGGUUGUGUAAGUUGGAGGUGAAAUCCCCGGGCUCAACCUGGGCAUUGCCUUCAAAACUGCACGGCUAGAGUAUGGGAGAGGAAGGUAGAAUUCCAGGUGUAGCGGUGAAAUGCGUAGAGAUCUGGAGGAAUACCGAU
This 700-nucleotide ribosomal RNA is filed under the name uncultured bacterium. Its description in RNAcentral is "bacterial SSU rRNA". It matches the Rfam family "Bacterial small subunit ribosomal RNA", at positions 8 to 713 of the family's 1533-position model. The record is from RNAcentral.